This 253-nucleotide ribosomal RNA is filed under the name uncultured bacterium. Its description in RNAcentral is "partial 16S ribosomal RNA". It matches the Rfam family "Bacterial small subunit ribosomal RNA", at positions 80 to 334 of the family's 1533-position model. The record is from RNAcentral.
CGUUUAGUAUGGCGACCGGCGCACGGGUGAGUAACACGUAUCCAACCUGCCGAUGACUCGGGGAUAGCCUUUCGAAAGAAAGAUUAAUACCCGAUGGCAUAGUUCUUCCGCAUGGUAGAACUAUUAAAGAAUUUCGGUCAUCGAUGGGGAUGCGUUCCAUUAGGUUGUUGGCGGGGUAACGGCCCACCAAGCCUUCGAUGGAUAGGGGUUCUGAGAGGAAGGUCCCCCACAUUGGAACUGAGACACGGUCCAA